RNAcentral lists this microRNA precursor (203 nucleotides) under Oryza brachyantha (malo sina). RNAcentral's name for it is "MIR812 microRNA precursor family". It matches the Rfam family "MIR812 microRNA precursor family". The record is from Rfam by way of RNAcentral. Lineage: Eukaryota; Viridiplantae; Streptophyta; Magnoliopsida; Poales; Poaceae.
AAUAAAUGCAUUUCUACAGGGUUUAUGUUCAACGUUUGAUCAUCCAUCUUAUUUAAAAAUUUUAUCAUUAGUAUUUUAUUGUUAUUAAAUGAUAAAACAUAAAUACCACCUUACGUAUGACUUUUUUUAACUUUUUUUAAUAAAUUUUUAAAUAAGAUAAACGGUUAAAUUCUAAACGUUGGUAUAUCACGGGAGAGGUAGUA